GAUGAACGCUGGCGGCGUGCCUAAUACAUGCAAGUCGAGCGAACAGACGAGGAGCUUGCUCCUCUGAUGUUAGCGGCGGACGGGUGAGUAACACGUGGAUAACCUACCUAUAAGACUGGGAUAACUUCGGGAAACCGGAGCUAAUACCGGAUAACAUGUUGAACCGCAUGGUUCAACAGUGAAAGACGGUCUUGCUGUCACUUAUAGAUGGAUCCGCGCCGCAUUAGCUAGUUGGUAAGGUAACGGCUUACCAAGGCAACGAUGCGUAGCCGACCUGAGAGGGUGAUCGGCCACACUGGAACUGAGACACGGUCCAGACUCCUACGGGAGGCAGCAGUAGGGAAUCUUCCGCAAUGGGCGAAAGCCUGACGGAGCAACGCCGCGUGAGUGAAGAAGGUCUUCGGAUCGUAAAACUCUGUUAUUAGGGAAGAACAAAUGUGUAGGUAACUAUGCACGUCUUGACGGUACCUAAUCAGAAAGCCACGGCUAACUACGUG
RNAcentral lists this ribosomal RNA (497 nucleotides) under uncultured bacterium. RNAcentral's name for it is "partial 16S ribosomal RNA". It matches the Rfam family "Bacterial small subunit ribosomal RNA", at positions 28 to 507 of the family's 1533-position model. The record is from RNAcentral.